GUGCUCGAUUCAGCAGCACAGAUACUAAAAUUGGAACAAUACGGAGAAGAUUAGCAUGACCUCUGUACAAGGAUGACAUGCAAAUCCAUGAAGUGUUCCAUAUUUAA
Molecule: small nuclear RNA, 107 nt
Organism: Phodopus roborovskii (desert hamster)
Lineage: Eukaryota; Metazoa; Chordata; Mammalia; Rodentia; Cricetidae
Source: RefSeq, a predicted model, not a curated record